Molecule: long non-coding RNA, 208 nt
Filed under: Pavo cristatus (Indian peafowl)
Lineage: Eukaryota; Metazoa; Chordata; Aves; Galliformes; Phasianidae
Description: lncRNA (ENSPSTG00000015351.1)
Source: RNAcentral
GAUGAAUGCUGUUUUGGAUUUUUAACCUCUUGAAUGAGGUCAGGGGGACAUCAGCAGAUCUGGGGGCCCUUUGAGGGCUCCUCCAUUCCACUGUCAGCUGGAUCCUGAAACUUGAACUUACAGCAGAUGGAGGGCAAAAUCAGAAGAGGAAAUUAGAGAUAUGAACUGGAAAUGAAAUACUGCCCAGAGAUGAACAUACUUACAGGAU